RNAcentral lists this long non-coding RNA (1458 nucleotides) under Mus spicilegus (steppe mouse). RNAcentral's name for it is "lncRNA (ENSMSIG00000030361.1)". Lineage: Eukaryota; Metazoa; Chordata; Mammalia; Rodentia; Muridae. The record is from RNAcentral.
GACGUAACUCCCAUGAAACAACAAACCCAAGGACAGCUUAAGGAGUUGAAAUGUACACAGUACCUGCUAUAUGGGAGACAGUUACUCCAUCUCAUAUACUAUAGUUCCUGAAGAGGACGAAAGAAAAUAUAGGUAAGUGAUGCGGACUACUAUUCUUAUUCUCAGAUGGGGGACAUCAUACCUCCGCUGGCUUAACUGAUAAACUGGGGUGACCCAGGCAGAGACACUCAGCUCCACAAAUUCAAGUCUUCUCCUCUGUCACAGGUGACCUGUGUGGCAGAUUGUGAUGCGGGGAGGUGUUGGAGGGGCGGGGGAGGGGACAGAAUCAAGACAUCUGGUGCCACUGAAUGCCUCGAGAUUCCCUCUGUGUUAGUUACGUUGGUUAAUUUACACAUUGCUGGGGUAAAACAGCUGACAAGCACAACUGAAGAAAAGAAGGAUUUAUGUCAUCACAGUUUGAGGCAGAAACACAAGUGACAUUACAGACCCGAGACUGAGAAAUCCAGUCCUAGCUUACUCGUGUGCAAGUACAAGUGGGGGAUUCGGAAUGUAUCAAAUAACUAGCUGUCACACCUGAUUAAUACUACCCGAUCCAGGGGAAGCAGCCACUCUGUCUUCCAAAAUGUCAUUAAAAUAUCAAAAAAGGAAGAAAAAAAAAAGAGAGAAAGAGAGAGAGCUCCCGUAAUUAAAGAAACAUUAUUUUGUUCACACAGCCUGGAAAAAAAAUGUGAUUGAGGUAGCAAUUUUGAGAAACUGAUAUUCAAUCAGGCAGGCGCUUGUGUGUGUACCGGCUUAGAACGGAUGCUGCGGGUUAUGUAAAAUGCUGUUGUGUCACGUGAUGUGUUAGUACGGAAGCCAAGAAAGACAGCAACGGAGGUGAGGACAUGUGGUUAAUUCGCUAAGAAGUCACGGGAGUGAAGAUUUGCUCUCUCUCUCCAAAAUAGCUUACCAACUAAGCUACCUGGGUUACACUUCCUGUGAGCCCUGACGACACAGGGUUCACACUGACACUUGGUUUCCGAAUAAGCCUGAUGUAGUUAUCCUAUCACCAAACACAAGCUGAAUUUCCAUUCAACAAAAACAAGGAUAAUUGGUUUAGUUUUGGAAAGACACGCCAUCACUUUUCAUUAGCAAAGCAGGGAAUGAGGUGCUCGGUGGGUUGCUGAUGUGUGCUCAGAACCAAGCCAGGAGAGGGGUACACAAACUUUACUGAGUAAUCAUUGGCUGUAAAAUAAUUUACUUCCACUGAGGACUCUUUAUAUAGCUGGGUUUUGUACACACCCAUACACACACACACACACACACACACACACACUCACAUGCCCACAGUCACGCGCACACACACACAUGUGAGUUGACUCAGGCCAUUUGACCAAAAAAAAAAAAAUCCCAUUUAAUGUAUCGAGUUCACGGAAGACACUCAAUAAAUGUUGACUGAAUGGAUUUUUGUAGAAAUAC